RNAcentral lists this long non-coding RNA (585 nucleotides) under Cricetulus griseus (Chinese hamster). RNAcentral describes it as "lncRNA (ENSCGRG00015033789.1)". The record is from RNAcentral. Lineage: Eukaryota; Metazoa; Chordata; Mammalia; Rodentia; Cricetidae.
UUUUAAUUCAUUGUUUGGAACCAGCAAGUACCCAACAGUUUAGUCUAAACCUAAGUUUUAACCAAGAAAGUAUUCAUUGUAUGUGCUACCAAGGAAAUACGGUGGUUUGUCAGAUAGCACACUAACUAGCGUCAGCAUUACUAAUGGUGACAGACGGUUGCAAAGCUCUAGCAAAGGACUCCCCAGUGAGUCAGAGGCCUAUCAUCCAACUGCCUGCUUACCAGCUUUCCUUCCUGUGAGUCACUUUAAGGAACGCAACUUCUUCUUUCUGUUUUCACCUUUCCUCUGCUCCAAUCAGUGGCUGUUAAAGCCACAUUAUAAUUCUGAGAAGUAUUAAUAGAUAUGACUGGGUCUCUCCAGGACAGCUCUUAGAAUGGAAGUAGGAGAAUGGACAUAAAAGAAGAUGCUCAUUUACCAAAUUGGAGAUGUCCCCUGCUAUUCUUUCUCUGAGAGCUGUUGACCAUGACUGUGACAAAAUACCAGACAAAAGCAACUUCAGGGAAAGAGUAUUUGUUUUGGCUCAUAGUUAAGCAGUGCAAUCCUCGUGGCAAGGAAGGUGUGGCCACAGGAGCUUGGAAUGUCUGG